Molecule: ribosomal RNA, 479 nt
Filed under: uncultured bacterium
Lineage: Bacteria
Description: partial 16S ribosomal RNA
Rfam family: Bacterial small subunit ribosomal RNA
Source: RNAcentral
ACUCAAAUGAAUUGACGGGGGCCCGCACAAGCAGCGGAGCGUGUGGUUUAAUUCGAUGCAACGCGAAGAACCUUACCUGGGCUUGACAUGGGCUUGCAAGGGCUGGAAACAGUCCCCCUCUUCGGAGCAAGUUCACAGAUGUUGCAUGGCUGUCGUCAGCUCGUGUCGUGAGAUGUUGGGUUAAGUCCCGCAACGAGCGCAACCCUCGUGCUUAGUUACCUUAUCUAAGCAGACUGCCUACAAAAUAGGAGGAAGGUGGGGAUGACGUCAAGUCCGCAUGGCUCUUACGUCCAGGGCUACACACACGCUACAAUGGCCGGUACAAAGCGCAGCAAGCGUGCGAACGCAAGCAAAUCGCGAAAGCCGGUCUCAGUUCGGAUUGCAGGCUGCAACUCGCCUGCAUGAAGAUGGAGUUGCUAGUAACCGCGCGUCAGCAUAGUGCGGUGAAUAAGUUCCCGGGCCUUGUACACACCGCCCGU